AUACAACUUCAGCAACGGAUCUCUUGGCUCUCGCAUCGAUGAAGAACGCAGCCGAAAUGCGAUAAGUAAUGUGAAUUGCAGAAUUCAGUGAAUCAUCGAAUCCUUUGAACGCACCUUGCGCUCCUUGGUAUUCCGAGGAGCAUGCCUGUUUGAGUCGUCAUG
This 162-nucleotide ribosomal RNA is filed under the name Meruliella lindtneri. RNAcentral's name for it is "Pseudophlebia lindtneri 5.8S ribosomal RNA". It matches the Rfam family "5.8S ribosomal RNA". From Rfam's summary of the family: 5.8S ribosomal RNA (5.8S rRNA) is a component of the large subunit of the eukaryotic ribosome. It is transcribed by RNA polymerase I as part of the 45S precursor that also contains 18S and 28S rRNA. The record is from RNAcentral. Lineage: Eukaryota; Fungi; Basidiomycota; Agaricomycetes; Polyporales; Meruliaceae.